GGCCAAGUUUUUAAGGGCGCACGGUGGAUGCCUUGGCACCAGGAACCGAUGAAGGACGUGGGAGGCCACGAUAGUCCCCGGGGAGCCGUCAACCAGGCUUUGAUCCGGGGGUUUCCGAAUGGGGAAACCCGGCAGUCGUCAUGGGCUGUCACCCAUACCUGAACACAUAGGGUAUGUGGAGGGAACGCGGGGAAGUGAAACAUCUCAGUACCCGCAGGAAGAGAAAACAACCGUGAUUCCGGGAGUAGUGGCGAGCGAAACCGGAUGAGGCCAAACCGUAUGCGUGUGAGACCCGGCAGGGGUUGCGUAUACGGGGUUGUGGGAUCUCUCUUCUGUCGUCUGCCGGCGACAGGACGAGUCAGAAACCGUUGAUGUAGGCGAAGGACAUGCGAAAGGUCCGGCGUAGAGGGUAAGACCCCCGUAGUCGAAACGUCAGCGGCUCGUUUGAGAGACACCCAAGUAGCACGGGGCCCGAGAAAUCCCGUGUGAAUCUGGCGGGACCACCCGCUAAGCCUAAAUAUUCCCUGGUGACCGAUAGCGGAUAGUACCGUGAGGGAAUGGUGAAAAGUACCCCGGGAGGGGAGUGAAAUAGUACCUGAAACCGUGUGCCUACAAGCCGUGGGAGCGUCGGGCAAGCACUUGUGCUUGCCUCGUGACUGCGUGCCUUUUGAAGAAUGAGCCUGCGAGUUUGCGGUGUGUUGCGAGGUUAACCCGUGUGGGGAAGCCGUAGCGAAAGCGAGUCCGAA
This 746-nucleotide ribosomal RNA is filed under the name Streptomyces sp. S.PB5. RNAcentral describes it as "partial 23S ribosomal RNA". It matches the Rfam family "Bacterial large subunit ribosomal RNA", at positions 1 to 687 of the family's 2925-position model. Lineage: Bacteria; Bacillati; Actinomycetota; Actinomycetes; Kitasatosporales; Streptomycetaceae. The record is from RNAcentral.